Molecule: ribosomal RNA, 276 nt
Filed under: Copris sp. sp45
Lineage: Eukaryota; Metazoa; Arthropoda; Insecta; Coleoptera; Scarabaeidae
Description: partial 28S ribosomal RNA
Rfam family: Eukaryotic large subunit ribosomal RNA
Source: RNAcentral
GACCAAGGAGUCUAGCAUGUGCGCGAGUCAUUGGGACUAGAUUAAACCUAAAGGCGCAAUGAAAGUAAAGGUCCGCCUAGCGCGGACCGAGGGAGGACGGGCCCGUCUACGGACGGGCCUCGCACUCCCGGGGCGUCUCGUCCUCAUCGCGAGGAGAGGCGCACCCAGAGCGUACACGCUGGGACCCGAAAGAUGGUGAACUAUGCCUGGUCAGGACGAAGUCAGGGGAAACCCUGAUGGAGGUCCGUAGCGAUUCUGACGUGCAAAUCGAUCGUC